UGGAGCCGCCGUCGGUGCAGAUCUUGGUGGUAGUAGCAAAUACUCCAGCGAGGCCCUGGAGGACUGACGUGGAGAAGGGUUUCGUGUGAACAGCCGUUGCACACGAGUCAGUCGAUCCUAAGCCCUAAGAGAAAUCUUACGUAAAUGGGGCGAAAGGGAAUCCGGUUCUUAUUCCGGAACCCGGCCGCGGAACCGCUCCAAAACGGGCCCUCAUGAGAGUUCGUCGGGGUAACCCAAAGUGACCUGGAGACGCCGUCGGGAGUUCCGGGAAGAGUUUUCUUUUCUGUAUAAGCGUUCGAGUUCCCUGGAAACCUCUAGCAGGGAGAUAGGGUUUGGAACGCGAAGAGCACCGCAGUUGCGGCGGUGUCCGGAUCUUCCCCUCGGACCUUGAAAAUCCAGGAGAGGGCCACGUGGAGGUGUCGCGCCGGUUCGUACCCAUAUCCGCAGCAGGUCUCCAAGG
Molecule: ribosomal RNA, 460 nt
Filed under: Enchenopa binotata
Lineage: Eukaryota; Metazoa; Arthropoda; Insecta; Hemiptera; Membracidae
Description: eukaryotic LSU rRNA
Rfam family: Eukaryotic large subunit ribosomal RNA
Source: RNAcentral